GUCUGUUUUAGAACUGUGGUAACCACUGUAAACAGAUCAACAGCCCCCAGUGAUGCUCCCCACAGACACACUGGAGAGCCUGCAGAUAAAAGUUACGUUAUCAGAUGGCGUGAUCUCACCUUGCGUUUGAGUGACAGACUGUCACCAUGGCAACCUGCAGCACUUUCCAGGUCUAGAAGAUUUUUCCAGGUUCCUGUAACUCCUAAG
Molecule: long non-coding RNA, 207 nt
Organism: Micropterus dolomieu (smallmouth bass)
Lineage: Eukaryota; Metazoa; Chordata; Actinopteri; Centrarchiformes; Centrarchidae
Exons: 3
Source: RefSeq, a predicted model, not a curated record